This 1065-nucleotide long non-coding RNA is filed under the name Serinus canaria (Common canary). RNAcentral describes it as "lncRNA (ENSSCAG00000009920.1)". The record is from RNAcentral. Lineage: Eukaryota; Metazoa; Chordata; Aves; Passeriformes; Fringillidae.
GCCCUUAACAUGACUUGAUUCUUGCAUUGAAUGAAAGCUGUACAUCAAGAGGGAUCUCUCAUUACAUGACUACAGCACAUAUUCUCCUUGGAAGAUACAAGGCACUUCCCCUUUGGGUGCUGCUUAUGAAUUUUUACAGCUUGGAGAACUGCAAAUGGGCUCAAGAGGAAAGUGUAUCUGUGACCAAUGGAAACAUAAAAGGGGAAGAAAAGUUGCAAGACUUCGCAGACCUCCUGAAAUACCACAUCCCCGUGCAUCAAAGGCUUUGCCUGCUUUCUGAAAGAUGCUGUUUUUAUCACUGCACACGAUGCUGCAUCCUUUGGGAUGAAUUCUGCCAGCUAUCAAUAGAAUUAUUUAUAUACAAACCCUGUCAGGUUAGCAAAGGCACAGGAAUGCAGCUGGUCAUUAAAGAGGUAUUUGUUUGAAUACAUAGAAGAAGAUGACAAGUGUGCAUGGAUGAUUUUACGUAAUUAACACCUGCUAGAUUUGCAAAAGGCAAUUAUCACUGUGAAGUGUUUACAUUGAUUUAUGGGAGGAAGGCGGCCCAUGAGAGGGAUGCUGAUAAUAUCAACACAGUGGAUUAAAUGCACAUUUACACCUUUAUUGACAUAUAAAUUAUCUGUGCCAGGAAUGCACUGAAAAGGCUGCUGAUGGAGCAGUAAUGUGGCACAAACUAGUGGGUUUGGAUUCAGCCCUGUCAUCCUUCUGUAAGGCACUUACAUGGAAACCUUCAUCUGAGCUCCUGUAGGAUAUAGAGGCUCACAGAAUGGCUGCUUGGUAGGAUAAUGAGCAGUGAUGGCAAACGGGAAUUUAGAAGAAUGAUGAAAGACAAUGGCCGAGGUUUGAAGGAAUUGUCUCGCCUUUUUGAAAAUUACUUUUAGAUUUUUGUUGUUUGUACUAUGGAUUUUUAGAGAAAGCUUAAAGAGGCUGGAAGAGUCUUUGUAGCAGGGAAAUGGAAUCUGGCUCUGAAUCCAGCCAGCAUCAGAAAAGAAAGAUUGUGACGCAUGGACUGGAAGAUCAAAAAAGGGUAAGUGACAAAAGGUGGGAACACUUUCUGCUUAAAUU